Long non-coding RNA from Portunus trituberculatus (swimming crab), 328 nucleotides. RefSeq lists it as uncharacterized. The record is from RefSeq and is a predicted model, not a curated record. The transcript is spliced from 3 exons. NCBI's taxonomy places the organism in Eukaryota, Metazoa, Arthropoda, Malacostraca, Decapoda, Portunidae.
CGACCACGUGUGUGUGUGUGUGUGUCUGUGUGUGAGUGAAUCAUUGCCAACUACCACCACCAUCACCACCACCACCACCACCACCAACCACCAUCUGCAUCACCAUUCAGUCUUCUCUGUCAAAUAGACACUACUACCACCACUACUACUACUACUACUACUACUACUACUACUACUACUACUACUACUACUGCUGCUGCUGCUGCUGCUACGCUGAUCACCAAGCAGUCACGUGACACUCGUUUAGCCAAUCACCAAGCAGGAUAAAGUUUUUUGAGAAGUGAAGGAAGAAAGAGGAAGAAGAGGAAGAGGAGGAGGAAGAGGAGGA